GGCUCUCCGUCGGGCGGCUCGCGAUGCUGCGUCUGCCGCUUGUGCUUCAUGCGCCGGUUCUGGAACCACACUUUGACCUGCCUUUCGGUGAGGUCCAGCAGGGCCGCGAUCUCGACGCGACGCGGCCGGCACAGCUCACUGCAGCCCAGCCUGGAGCAGAAGACUUGCUUAGCAGAGAAAUGGCAACUCAGCCGGGAGCUGGAACUCAAAACUUUGUCUGUGUAACAGCUGCGUGGGUGGUGACCCAAUGGUGGUUGGGCUUCGGGUCACGUGACGACUUCUUUGUAGCUCCGGAAGAGAACUAUAAAGUUUAGGUUUGCUUGGAAGAAACAGGAAUGAGUGAACUGAGGGGGGAGGGAGUCAAGAUUUGGGAGAGAAUCACCCACAGAAAUGGAAGGUGUGUUAAUUUGGGCGCUUCUUGAAUUCUACCCUGAGGAGGAGGCGCGUGGUGAGAGGAGAGGUCUGUGUAGGUGGGGUGGGGGUCGCAGGGUCCGUGGUGCUGGCUGGGGGCCAUGGGGGUCGCCCCGUUGUAGUCCAGGUUCCCAGAGGGGUGGUGGGCGAGGUGGUUGAGGCCGUAGAGGGAGGGGCCGGCAGGGGGCGGCAGCGGAUCCGCGUAGCCGCCCCCACCCACGUACACGGGGCUGCCCUGCAUGGUGGGCGUCCCGUAGGCACCCCCGUUGGCCGGCAGGACGUGCGGCUCGUACUCGGGCGCCGGGGUCGGGGCGUACUUCUGCGGGGCGCCGCAGCCCUUGAGAGGAGGAGGCGGUUGGUAGUUGGAGGGCAGCGCGUAGGCAUUCUGGUGGGCUUUGCCGAAGGCGGGCGGGGACGGGCUCUCGUAGCUGGGGGUCAUGGAGUGUAAGGCGUUCAUGAAGCCGGCCGUGGACUGCAUGGGCUGCGGGGGGCUGCCGGCCGGGGAGGGGCCCCCCGACGACGAGGCCAGGCCCUUGGCCUUCUGGUCCUUCUUGUACUUCAUGCGCCGGUUCUGGAACCAGAUCUUGAUCUGCCGCUCGCUGAGGUUCAGCAGGUUGGCCAUCUCCACCCGCCUGGGCCGGCACAGGUAGCGGUUGAAGUGGAAUUCCUUCUCCAGCUCCACCAGCUGCGCGCUCGUGUAGGCCGUCCGUGCCCGCUUGGAGGCCGCCGACCCUGGGGGGCUCUUGUCCCCUCCCCCGCCCGCCGCCUCCCCCACUGCCACCGCCUCCUCCUCCUCCUCCUGCACCUCCUGCACCACCUCCUCCUCCUCCUCCUCCACCUCCUCCUCCUCCUCCUCCUCCUCCUCCGCUGCCGCAGCCCUCCGCUGGAUCCGAGGGGAGGGGUGGGAUGGGGGGGGGAGAAAAUGAAAUAAAAGAUAAUUACUGAACACGCCGAAA
Long non-coding RNA from Suncus etruscus (white-toothed pygmy shrew), 1367 nucleotides. RefSeq lists it as uncharacterized. The record is from RefSeq and is a predicted model, not a curated record. NCBI's taxonomy places the organism in Eukaryota, Metazoa, Chordata, Mammalia, Eulipotyphla, Soricidae. The transcript is spliced from 5 exons.